Molecule: ribosomal RNA, 759 nt
Filed under: uncultured bacterium
Lineage: Bacteria
Description: bacterial SSU rRNA
Rfam family: Bacterial small subunit ribosomal RNA
Source: RNAcentral
CAGUCGAACGGGACUAUGCUGGAAGAAGUUUUCGGAUGGAUUUUGGUAUAGUUUAGUGGCGGACGGGUGAGUAACACGUGAGCAACCUGCCUUCGAGAGGGGAAUAACGGCUGGAAACGGUCGCUAAUACCGCAUAAUAUACAGGAGGGACAUCCCUUUUGUAUCAAAGAUUUAUCGCUCGAAGAUGGGCUCGCGUCCGAUUAGGUAGUUGGUGAGGUAACGGCCCACCAAGCCGACGAUCGGUAGCCGGACUGAGAGGUUGAACGGCCACAUUGGGACUGAGACACGGCCCAGACUCCUACGGGAGGCAGCAGUGGGGGAUAUUGCACAAUGGGGGAAACCCUGAUGCAGCGACGCCGCGUGUGGGAAGACGGUCCUCUGGAUUGUAAACCACUGUCCCCAGGGACGAAGAUGACGGUACCUGGGGAGGAAGCUCCGGCUAACUACGUGCCAGCAGCCGCGGUAAUACGUAGGGAGCAAGCGUUGUCCGGAAUUACUGGGUGUAAAGGGAGCGUAGGCGGGAUGGCAAGUUGGGUGUUAAAUCUACCGGCUCAACUGGUAGUCGCACUCAAAACUGCUAUUCUUGAGUGAAGUGGAGGCAGGCGGAAUUCCUAGUGUAGCGGUGAAAUGCGUAGAUAUUAGGAGGAACACCAGUGGCGAAGGCGGCCUGCUGGGCUUUUACUGACGCUGAGGCUCGAAAGUGUGGGGAGCAAACAGGAUUAGAUACCCUGGUAGUCCACACCGUAAACGAUGAUUACU